Molecule: small RNA, 28 nt
Filed under: Bombyx mori (domestic silkworm)
Lineage: Eukaryota; Metazoa; Arthropoda; Insecta; Lepidoptera; Bombycidae
Description: ovarian small RNA-31973
Source: RNAcentral
UGACUGCGUACAGGUGAACGAUGUCGUC